This 253-nucleotide ribosomal RNA is filed under the name Papillibacter cinnamivorans. RNAcentral describes it as "partial 16S ribosomal RNA". It matches the Rfam family "Bacterial small subunit ribosomal RNA", at positions 524 to 776 of the family's 1533-position model. Lineage: Bacteria; Bacillati; Bacillota; Clostridia; Eubacteriales; Oscillospiraceae. The record is from RNAcentral.
UACGUAGGUGGCAAGCGUUGUCCGGAUUUACUGGGUGUAAAGGGCGCGCAGGCGGGAGAGCAAGUCAGAUGUGAAAUCUAUGGGCUUAACCCAUAAACUGCAUUUGAAACUGUUUUUCUUGAGUGAUGGAGAGGCAAGCGGAAUUCCUAGUGUAGCGGUGAAAUGCGUAGAUAUUAGGAGGAACACCAGUGGCGAAGGCGGCUUGCUGGACAUUAACUGACGCUGAGGCGCGAAAGCGUGGGGAGCAAACAGG